Molecule: long non-coding RNA, 468 nt
Organism: Lagopus muta (rock ptarmigan)
Lineage: Eukaryota; Metazoa; Chordata; Aves; Galliformes; Phasianidae
Exons: 3
Source: RefSeq, a predicted model, not a curated record
GGAAGGGUCUCUUUUCUGGAGAUCCUUCCUUUGGAGUUUUAUAGUAAGUCCAGGACAAGGCUCACUAAAUUGAUGAUUUUUCCCCACUGCGUGAUACCAUUUUGAAAUAAGCGAAGGAUGGUGUCUAUAUUCAGUAAGGAUGUGCAGGAAGGAUGAUAACAGGAUCAAGGAAUCUUUUAAGUUGGAAAAGACUCAUGAGAUCACCAAGUCCAACCAUCACCUAACGCUAUGAUGCUGAGCUGCCAUAGGAGUGUCAUGUACAUAGUUCUAGCAGAUGAGAACACUCAAAGGUCUUUCGUGCCUUAGACACAGCAUGUCAGACUCAAAGUAUAUAAUCUACAGAGAAGCAUGGCCCAACAGAGAAGGCUCCAAACUCUUGCUUCUAAAUACCUUUUUCUAAGCAGUACUCAUGCAAAAAUCAAAAAAUGUGGCUAUCAAGUGAUACAGCUCUCAUAUACCAUCUGGCAA